UACGGAGGAUGCAGGCGUUAUCCGGAUUUAUUAGGUUUAAAGGGUGCGCAGGCGGCCCGGUAAGUCAGCGGUGAAAGUUUGCAGCUCAACUGUAAAAUUGCCAUUGAUACUGCCGGGCUUGAAUACGGUAGAGGUAGGCGGAAUGUGUAGUGUAGCGGUGAAAUGCUUAGAUAUUACACAGAACACCGAUUGCGAAGGCAGCUUACUAUGCCGCGAUUGACGCUCAGGCACGAAAGCGUGGGUAGCGAACAGGAUUAGAUACCCUGGUAGUCCACGCCGUAAACGAUGAUUACUGGUUGUGCGCGAUAUACAGUGCGCGACUGAGGGAAACCAUUAAGUAAUCCACCUGGGGAGUACGGCCGCAAGGCUGAA
This 372-nucleotide ribosomal RNA is filed under the name uncultured bacterium. RNAcentral's name for it is "bacterial SSU rRNA". It matches the Rfam family "Bacterial small subunit ribosomal RNA", at positions 524 to 898 of the family's 1533-position model. The record is from RNAcentral.